Grifola frondosa (maitake) is the source of this 86-nucleotide non-coding RNA. Lineage: Eukaryota; Fungi; Basidiomycota; Agaricomycetes; Polyporales; Grifolaceae. The record is from Rfam.
GCCCGCCUAGCUCAAUCGGAUAGAGCGUCAGACUCUUACCAUAUGCGGGUAUCUGAAGGCUGCGAGUUCGACCCUCGCGGUGGGCU